GGCGUUGCAAAAUUGGUGGCCGAAGCAUCUGAUGGAGCGCAAAAAUGAUGGAAGCUAAACCGCUGACUAAGGAGGCCCUCGCUCUUACAGAGAAGAAGAUGGACAUGGCGUUAGACGACAUAAUCAAAAUGUCUAAGAACAAGCCAGCUAAAGGAAAGAGGGCUAGAGUUCCUAAUAAAAGCCAGAGAGCUUAUAACAAUGCUGCUCAAGAUAAAUCCAUGAAGCUGCAGCGUUUUAUGAACUCGAGAUCGUCGCUCAGACAGGGAGUUCUUGCACAGAAAAGGUCGAAUUUUCAGGGAAACCAAUUUCCUCUUGCGAAAGAGGCUGCCAGGAAGGCUGCAGUUGUUCCCUUUCGCAGUAGAGCUCCUCCUCGUGACAGGACAGUGAACUCAAACAGAACCAGGUAAAAUUGGUUCCUUUGAAAUUAGUAAUGCAGUUUGCUUCUGAUUAACAUGUACAAGCUCGCCGUGUGGUUAUGACAGUGGUUAUUUGGAAAGGGUAACUGGUUUUGGACAUUUCUUUUGAGCACUUGGAAAUUGUGCCUUCAUUCUUCAUCUUAGUAAUGACUAAGGCAAGAAAGUUGAUAAUAAUAGAUUGAGGAUCGUGUUGCACGGUUAAGGUUAGUUGUGUUGAUUGUUACUGUGAAUGGGCGUUGUGGGUUUUCGCUGAAGUAAUGGAUUUUCGCCUGUUUUUCUUGUGGGAGCUUCUAGUGCCAUGAGAGACUAUGGUUUGUUAUUGCUAUCCGGAAGCAUGGCACUUGUUGAUCUUUGCCUGUCGAGAAUCGGCAUGCACACUACUGCUAUGGUUGUGUUGGUGUCUGGAUGGCUGGAAAUUCUACUACUGAAGUCCCUAGUUUCCAUAUUUUUGAGAUUAAAGUUCGAGGGCCUUUCGUAAGACAUGGGGGUCUUAGUUAUUGUGCUGUUGAUGGCUGGGGAAGAUAUUGCCCUUUUGCAAGUUGGCAUCUGAUGCAGUGACCAUGGUUUUGGUGUUAAACUUAAGUUGAAGAUUUGAGUAGAUCCAGAAUUCCAGUAGAAUUUUGUUUGGUGAGCUACAGCUAGAAUUCCAUUUCAUUCUAGUGCUGUUGAGCAGGAAGUCACUCAUCUGAAAAGAAGAUAGAAAGAUGGAUUUACCGAUUAUUGGACGAUAGGAGGAUGAAGAGGUUUGUCUCUUGGGCUGGUCAGAUCAGAGAAAGAUUAAUAAAAGAUAUAUACGUCACCUUCAGCAGAGGCGUUUCUGAUCAGAGAUUGUUCCCUCAAGUUUUGAUUUGUUGUGUCCCGCUCUAGUUUGUCUUGAAAUUUCACUCUUUCUUUUUUUUAUAAUUAAGAGCUUAUGUUGGUAAGUCACCGAGCUUAUGAUGGUAAGUCACCGAGCUUAUGAUGGUAAGUCACCUAAACUCGACUCCUUUGGAUUCCUAGUUCUUUGCUUCCCAUAGUGAGUGGCUGGCGCCCAGUAAUUAUGUAUUAAUCAUUGAGCUGUACAUGCAAGCCUUUUACAAUCACGUGUCUACUCUCAUUGUUUCAGGGCUGGGGCUCCAUUGGCAAUGAACAGAUCAUCAAAAAAUACAAGUGGUGCUUCCAAGCAGCAGCAUCAAGGUGAAGGGAAUGGCGGCUCCAAGCAGCGGCCACAGACACUGGAUGCACGCUUUGCGAACUUGAAGGAGCAGAGAGAGAAGGUAUCGGUCUUGCCCCGCCCCGACAAUUUCACCGCCAGAAGGAAUGGAGGAGGAACCCGCAAACAGAUUCCCCCUUGGACUCGAUUCCCGAAGUAAACCCCUCCAACACCUGUAGUGGCUCCAUUUGCUUGCACGUCUUGGGUAGUAGACAACGAGAGCGCAGCUGCCCAUCAUCAAGAGGCUGCAGUCACAGCUUUCCAGUGGUUAUGACUCUGUCUAAGAUCCGUCAAAUCAUCUUAUAAGGCGAUUUGCGUGUUUUGUGGAUCCCUGCGUCUCUGACGAGAUAUUUACACAGGUUUCCAGUUUCCAGAUUCCAGAUUCGCUUGUGCCAAAGUAUGUAUAGGUGUUUUCUUCUCAUGACAUGUCAUAGUCAUACACUAUGGAAUCUUUUGAUCAAACUUACUGGAAUUUCUAUAUUCAACCUCUAGAGAUCGAAACUUGAGAUUAUGGUGUUUUCUCAUUUCA
Non-coding RNA from Punica granatum (pomegranate), 2137 nucleotides. Lineage: Eukaryota; Viridiplantae; Streptophyta; Magnoliopsida; Myrtales; Lythraceae. The record is from RefSeq and is a predicted model, not a curated record.